CCCUUAGAUGUUCUGGGCCGCACGCGCGCUACACUGAUUCAUGCAACAAGUUUUGUCCUUGGCUGAUAGGCCUGGGUAAUCUUUGAACGUGAAUCGUGAUGGGGAUAGAUGAUUGCAAUUAUUCAUCUUCAACGAGGAAUUCCUAGUAAACGCAAGUCAUCAGCUUGCAUUGAUUACGUCCCUGCCCUUUGUACACACCGCCCGUCGCACCUACCGAUUGAAUGGUCCGGUGAAAUCUUCGGAUCUGAGAGAUGUGUGAUUAAUUUCGGACGCCUUUUGGAAAAGUUGUUUAAACCUUACCAUUUAGAGGAAGGUGAAGUCGUANCA
Molecule: ribosomal RNA, 327 nt
Filed under: uncultured eukaryote
Lineage: Eukaryota
Description: partial 18S ribosomal RNA
Rfam family: Eukaryotic small subunit ribosomal RNA
Source: RNAcentral